CCGGAGACAAACUUCUACAAAAAAUAACGUCUCAAGUUCGGAUUGUAGUCUGCAACUCGACUACAUGAAGCUGGAAUCGCUAGUAAUCGCGGAUCAGAAUGCCGCGGUGAAUACGUUCCCGGGUCUUGUACACACCGCCCGUCACACCAUGGGAGUUGGUAACGCCCGAAGUCAGUGACCCAACCGUAAGGAGGGAGCUGCCGAAGGCGGGACUGAUAACUGGGGUGAAGUCGUAACAAGGUAGCCGUAUCGGAAGGUGCGGCUGGAUCACCUCCUUU
Molecule: ribosomal RNA, 278 nt
Filed under: uncultured Lachnospiraceae bacterium
Lineage: Bacteria; Bacillati; Bacillota; Clostridia; Lachnospirales; Lachnospiraceae
Description: partial 16S ribosomal RNA
Rfam family: Bacterial small subunit ribosomal RNA
Source: RNAcentral